Molecule: ribosomal RNA, 468 nt
Filed under: uncultured bacterium
Lineage: Bacteria
Description: partial 16S ribosomal RNA
Rfam family: Bacterial small subunit ribosomal RNA
Source: RNAcentral
GACGAACGCUGGCGGCGUGCUUAACACAUGCAAGUCGAACGGAAAGGCCCUGCUUUUGUGGGGUGCUCGAGUGGCGAACGGGUGAGUAACACGUGAGUAACCUGCCCUUGACUUUGGGAUAACUUCAGGAAACUGGGGCUAAUACCGGAUAGGAGCUCUUGCUGCAUGGGGGGGGUUGGAAAGUUUCGGCGGUUGGGGAUGGACUCGCGGCUUAUCAGCUUGUUGGUGGGGUAGUGGCUUACCAAGGCUUUGACGGGUAGCCGGCCUGAGAGGGUGACCGGCCACAUUGGGACUGAGAUACGGCCCAGACUCCUACGGGAGGCAGCAGUGGGGAAUAUUGCACAAUGGGCGGAAGCCUGAUGCAGCAACGCCGCGUGCGGGAUGACGGCCUUCGGGUUGUAAACCGCUUUCGCCUGUGACGAAGCGUGAGUGACGGUAAUGGGUAAAGAAGCACCGGCUAACUACGUG